RNAcentral lists this ribosomal RNA (231 nucleotides) under uncultured bacterium. RNAcentral's name for it is "partial 16S ribosomal RNA". It matches the Rfam family "Bacterial small subunit ribosomal RNA", at positions 99 to 334 of the family's 1533-position model. The record is from RNAcentral.
CGAACGGGUGAGUAACGCGUGGAUUAUCUGCCCUGAGGUGGGGGAUAGCCCGGGGAAACUCGGGCUAAUACCGCAUAUGACCGUGAGGUCAAAGGGGGGUCGCAAGAUCUCUCGCCAUAGGAGGAGUCCGCGUUCGAUUAGCUAGUUGGUAGGGUAAUGGCCUACCAAGGCGACGAUCGAUAGCCGGCCUGAGAGGGUGAUCGGCCACACUGGAACUGAGACACGGUCCAG